Long non-coding RNA from Bubalus bubalis (water buffalo), 1610 nucleotides. RefSeq lists it as uncharacterized. NCBI's taxonomy places the organism in Eukaryota, Metazoa, Chordata, Mammalia, Artiodactyla, Bovidae. The record is from RefSeq and is a predicted model, not a curated record. The transcript has 5 exons.
GUCCCAGUUCUGUAAGAUUAAUGUAUCCACAAAGGAGUGAUAUCACCACAGAUUAAAGGGUUUGUAGGCUUUUCGUUAUUUAUUAGCUUGUUUUUAGUGAAAAACUUCAGGCUGAGUAGUCACGUGUGUCAAAAGAGUGAACUGUCAGUAUAAUUUUCAGAGUAGAAAUGAAAACUAAAAUAAUUCUUUUUCUAUUCUUAAACAUCCUUUUCUUUUCCAGCUUCACAUUGAUUUACUGUGUGUACAUUUGGAUUUAUUAGUCUUGAAUAUGUUCCAAAGGGGAUAAAGAUUUUUUCAACUAACCAUGAAAUAAACUUUCCAGCAAUUUUGGGUAAACACCUUUCAAGAUAAGUUAGUCAAAGUAUAUAAAAAUUUGAUACCAAGUUCUUGAUUUCAGUAUCAUAUAUACUUAGAUAUUCAGUAAACUAUGCCAAGUUAUACUUCUAAUUGAUUCCAGGAUCAAUAGCAGAAGCACCCCAGUGUAUGUAGCUGACAUUAAGCUUUCUCAUUGUAGUGUGAAAACCUGACUGAUAUUUGACUGCUGAGGCAUCUGUUUCAGAUAUCCAUUAGAAUAAACAGCCAGCACCUGAGGACACAGCUACUGGCUGCCAUCAGAUCCUGUAGGAACAACCCUUGAUCCUCAGAGUCCCCCAGUGCUUGUUGCUGAGGUGCCACCUGGGAUUCUAAGAACCACGAGGGCCGGCCCAGUGUCCCUGGAGGUGGGAGUAUGUGUGAGGGCCCACUAUGAGUAAAUGCAAGUGUGGAGCACUUCACAUUCCCAGCCAAGCUCAUCACCAUCAGUGAGCUGAAGGACACAACACAGGCUGAAAGCAGAUGUCCCCGCGGAGGGGUCUUACCACCAGCUGCACAGACUUCUUUCAGAGGUAGAUGGUCUCCUAGUUUUGAUUUUAAAAGUGAAGAAACUGAAGCUCAGAGUGGUGGAAACUUGCCAAGAACACGGGGCAAUCAAGUAGCAGAGCAGCCCUGAAAGUCACCCCCACAACUCCACACAGACCUCAGCCUGGAGCUCCGUCUGCCUGAGAUGAAGCUGCGCACUCCUGCGUUCAUGUCCCUUUAGUAAGGGUGGAUUUCCACACAUCAGACUCAAUUGUGAAGAUAACUGGCUGAAUGGUUACAAUAUCCCAUCAGGUGAACAGACUCUCACCCAAGCUCCUCCAGACGCACCUUGCUGUCCAGGCUCUUCAUGGUCAAGAGAUCCAGUGUCUUCAGGGAGUGGCCUGUCGGGGAGAUGAAGUAGAGGCACACGUGGACACGGGAGUCAUGGUAGUUAAAGAGAGAGCGCUUGAUCUUCAGCUCUUCUUGGAGCAGAGGAAGGCCCAUCACAGCCGACAGGCUUAGUCCUUGCAUGGAUCCAUCCUCCUGCCUGAAGUGCCUGACCCCAAGAGAAAGCACUGCCCAGGGGCUGCUCUGCUUUGGGAAGAACUGACGUGUGGGCAUGUGAGGAGAGGACCCAAGACUACAGACAUUUCCUAUAACCAUCUUGGUGGUAGAAAACUACGCAUUUGUCAAAAUUAAGUUGUACACUUAAACCAAUGCAUCUUAUUUAUUGUAUGUAAAUUUUACUUCAAUAAAACUUAUUUAUAAACAAA